AGGCAGUGUAGAAUUAGCUGGCUGCUUUGUUUAAUUCUAGCAGUCGCUACCACACUGCUAU
Molecule: microRNA precursor, 61 nt
Filed under: Python bivittatus (Burmese python)
Lineage: Eukaryota; Metazoa; Chordata; Lepidosauria; Squamata; Pythonidae
Description: Pbv-Mir-34-P3b_pre stem-loop
Source: RNAcentral